AUUGAACGCUGGCGGCAGGCCUAACACAUGCAAGUCGGACGGUAGCACAGAGGAGCUUGCUCCUUGGGUGACGAGUGGCGGACGGGUGAGUAAUGUCUGGGGAUCUGCCCGAUAGAGGGGGAUAACCACUGGAAACGGUGGCUAAUACCGCAUAACGUCGCAAGCCCAAAGAGGGGGACCUUCGGGCCUCUCACUAUCGGAUGAACCCAAAUGGGAUUAGCUAGUAGGCGGGGUAAUGGCCCACCUAGGCGACGAUGCCUAGCCGGUCUGAGAGGAUGACCAGCCACACUGGAACUGAGACACGGUCCAGACUCCUACGGGAGGCAGCAGUGGGGAAUAUUGCACAAUGGGCGCAAGCCUGAUGCAGCCAUGCCGCGUGUAUGAAGAAGGCCUUCGGGUUGUAAAGUACUUUCAGCGGGGAGGAAGGCGGUGCGGUUAAUAACCGCGCCGAUUGACGUUACCCGCAGAAGAAGCACCGGCUAACUCCGUGCCAGCCGCCGCAGUAA
Molecule: ribosomal RNA, 506 nt
Filed under: uncultured bacterium
Lineage: Bacteria
Description: partial 16S ribosomal RNA
Rfam family: Bacterial small subunit ribosomal RNA
Source: RNAcentral